Sander lucioperca (pikeperch) is the source of this 152-nucleotide long non-coding RNA. RefSeq lists it as uncharacterized. The transcript has 3 exons. Lineage: Eukaryota; Metazoa; Chordata; Actinopteri; Perciformes; Percidae. The record is from RefSeq and is a predicted model, not a curated record.
CGUCACUGGUCACAAACUUACUUCUGUAAUUUAUUUAUUUAUCUGGGACAGUGCACAUUAAUGAACAAUCUAACAUUUCUGUACAGACUGUAAAUGAGCCAGGUUAUAGCAUAAAUGCUAAUUUUCACCUGUAGUCCCGAGUCAGGAAAACA